UACAGAGGGGGCAAGCGUUGUUCGGAAUUACUGGGCGUAAAGGGCGCGUAGGCGGCCUGUUAAGUCGAACGUGAAAUCCCCGGGCUCAACCCGGGAACUGCGUCCGAUACUGGCAGGCUUGAAUUCGGGAGAGGGAUGCGGAAUUCCAGGUGUAGCGGUGAAAUGCAUAGAUAUCUGGAGGAACACCGGUGGCGAAGGCGGCAUCCUGGACCAAUUCUGACGCUGAGGAGCGAAAGCCAGGGGAGCAAACGGG
This 253-nucleotide ribosomal RNA is filed under the name uncultured bacterium. RNAcentral describes it as "partial 16S ribosomal RNA". It matches the Rfam family "Bacterial small subunit ribosomal RNA", at positions 524 to 776 of the family's 1533-position model. The record is from RNAcentral.